AGAGUUUGGAACCUGGCUCAGGAUGAACGCUAGCGGCAGGCCUAAUACAUGCAAGUCGGACGGGAUCCAUCGGAGAGCUUGCUCGAAGAUGGUGAGAGUGGCGCACGGGUGCGUAACGCGUGAGCAACCUACCUCUAUCAGGGGGAUAGCCUCUCGAAAGAGAGAUUAACACCGCAUAACAUCAACAGUUCGCAUGUUCGGUUGAUUAAAUAUUUAUAGGAUAGAGAUGGGCUCGCGUGACAUUAGCUAGUUGGUAGGGUAACGGCUUACCAAGGCGACGAUGUCUAGGGGCUCUGAGAGGAGAAUCCCCCACACUGGUACUGAGACACGGACCAGACUCCUACGGGAGGCAGCAGUAAGGAAUAUUGGUCAAUGGGCGGAAGCCUGAACCAGCCAUGCCGCGUGCAGGAUGACUGCCCUAUGGGUUGUAAACUGCUUUUGUCCAGGAAUAAACCUAAAUACGUGUAUUUAGCUGAAUGUACUGGAAGAAUAAGGAUCGGCUAACUCCGUGCCAGCAGCCGCGGUAAUACGGAGGAUCCGAGCGUUAUCCGGAUUUAUUGGGUUUAAAGGGUGCGUAGGCGGCCUAUUAAGUCAGGGGUGAAAUACGGUGGCUCAACCAUCGCAGUGCCUUUGAUACUGAUGGGCUUGAAUCCAUUUGAAGUGGGCGGAAUAAGACAAGUAGCGGUGAAAUGCAUAGAUAUGUCUUAGAACUCCGAUUGCGAAGGCAGCUCACUAAGCUGGUAUUGACGCUGAUGCACGAAAGCGUGGGGAUCGAACAGGAUUAGAUACCCUGGUAGUCCACGCCCUAAACGAUGAUAACUCGAUGUUGGCGAUAGACAGCCAGCGUCCCAGCGAAAGCGUUAAGUUAUCCACCUGGGGAGUACGCCCGCAAGGGUGAAACUCAAAGGAAUUGACGGGGGCCCGCACAAGCGGAGGAGCAUGUGGUUUAAUUCGAUGAUACGCGAGGAACCUUACCCGGGCUUGAAAGUUAGUGAAGAGUGCAGAGACGCACUCGUCCUUCGGGACACGAAACUAGGUGCUGCAUGGCUGUCGUCAGCUCGUGCCGUGAGGUGUUGGGUUAAGUCCCGCAACGAGCGCAACCCCUAUGUUUAGUUGCCAGCAUUUCAUG
Molecule: ribosomal RNA, 1129 nt
Filed under: Sphingobacterium multivorum
Lineage: Bacteria; Pseudomonadati; Bacteroidota; Sphingobacteriia; Sphingobacteriales; Sphingobacteriaceae
Description: bacterial SSU rRNA
Rfam family: Bacterial small subunit ribosomal RNA
Source: RNAcentral